RNAcentral lists this small RNA (605 nucleotides) under Pongo abelii (Sumatran orangutan). RNAcentral describes it as "processed transcript". The record is from RNAcentral. Lineage: Eukaryota; Metazoa; Chordata; Mammalia; Primates; Hominidae.
GUUCUGCGCCUCUGUAAACCCUGAUGGAGAGGAAACUGAACAGGAAUAUGAGUGCCUGGAGCAAGAAAACACCAGGCUGCGGAGGGAGAUCGGGAAGUUGACGGAGGAGCUGAAGCACCUGACAGAGGCACUGAAGGAGCAUGAGAAGAUGUGCCCGCUGCUGCUCUGCCCCAUGAACUUUGUGCCAGUGCCUCCCCGGCCAGACCCUGUCGCCGGCUGCUUGCCCCGAUGAAGCUGGGGAUACUCCUCUGCCCAACAAGGAGCCUUGGUCAUUUUCACACCUGGGAGGAAGGCUUUCCCUUCACAAUUGUAUACAGGGGGCACCUGUGGCCAGGCCUCCUUCUGGGAGCUCCAGGACCAGCCAGCUGUGUUCCCUGCAGACUGGGCUCAGCCCGACAUCCAAUAGGCGCCAGACUCACAGAGCCCUUGUGCAGAUCCAGCAUGGAGGAUACCCUCAGGAGUGACUUUUCAUCCACCCUGGCAGCUAGUAGGUUCUGCUGUUACGCAGAGCCAUUUCCUCUAGAAUUUGGAUAAUAAAGAUGCUUAUUGUCUCUCCCUUCUCCAGUUCUUGGAAUUUAGAGGCACAAUACACUUCCUUUUCCUGG